Molecule: transfer RNA, 50 nt
Filed under: Amphiascoides atopus
Lineage: Eukaryota; Metazoa; Arthropoda; Copepoda; Harpacticoida; Miraciidae
Description: tRNA-Ser
Source: RNAcentral
UAAACUUAAAUAAGACUUCUAAUCUUUUAUAGGCGUACUGUCAAGUUUUA